This 2019-nucleotide small RNA is filed under the name Pongo abelii (Sumatran orangutan). RNAcentral's name for it is "retained intron". The record is from RNAcentral. Lineage: Eukaryota; Metazoa; Chordata; Mammalia; Primates; Hominidae.
AGAUCGCCGAAGCGUCGGACUACCGUUGGUUUCUGCAACUUCCUGGAUUAUCCUCGCCAAGGACUUUGCAAUAUUUUUUUCCGCCUUUUCUGGAAGGAUUUCGUUGCUUCCCGAAGGUCUUGGACGAGCGCUCUAGCUCUGUGGGAAGAUUUUGGGCUUUCUGGCUCGGAUUUUGCAAUUUCUCCCUUGGGACUGCCGUGGAGCCGCGUCCACUGUGGAUUAUAAUUGCAACAUGACGCUGGAAGAGCUCGUGGCGUGCGACAACGCGGCGCAGAAGAUGCAGACGGUGACCGCCGCGGUGGAGGAGCUUUUGGUGGCCGCUCAGCGCCAGGAUCGCCUCACAGUGGGGGUGUACGAGUCGGCCAAGUUGAUGAAUGUGUGAGUCAGACCCCCUUCCCGGGCUGGGCGCGGGUGGGACGGGACCUCCCCUCCGCUCUGGACGCUUUCCACACGCUUGUCUUGCAUGGAGCUGGGACUUCCCCAAGUGCCCCCCGCUGUGGAUGCAGAGCUUCUCUGCCGUUUUGUGGAUCGGGGGCUGCCGUAUCCUGAUGUAUCGUCUGCAAACGCCCCUCCCGCUGUGGGCCUGUCUCCCCCCACCCCAUACUUUGAACCGUGUGCCCUCCCCUCCCCCACCGUCACCAGCUUGCAGAGGCAAUCCCCUGCACCCUUGCAAUUUCUCUUUUGCUCUUGCACGCUCCUUGUUUGCAAACUCCCCCUGCACGGUGGCCUCUCCCCUGUCCCCGGCUGACCCAUCCCUACCCUUUGGCCCCCUCAGGGACCCAGACAGCGUGGUCCUCUGCCUCUUGGCCAUUGACGAAGAGGAGGAGGAUGACAUCGCCCUGCAAAUCCACUUCACGCUCAUCCAGUCUUUCUGCUGUGACAACGACAUCAACAUCGUGCGGGUGUCGGGCAUGCAGCGCCUGGCGCAGCUCCUGGGAGAGCCGGCCGAGACCCAGGGCACCUCCGAGGCCCGAGACCUGCAUUGUCUCCUGGUCACGGUGAGUCGGGCCUCUGCCCUGCCCUGCCCCGUCACGCCCGGGCACCUGGGCCGGUGUUUGUCAACAAAGUCGGGCUGACUGGUCCUGCACAGCUCAGCGCUCAGCCACGUUUGGCAUGUCCCGUGGGCAGCCGGGCUGGGGCCUCCUCACCCAGGGAGCUAUUUUGAGCCUGUUUUCCCCACACAGGGGCCCCAGGAGAGGGAGGCUCCACUAAACCCCUUCUUUUCCCUCCUCCAGAACCCUCACACCGACGCCUGGAAGAGCCACGGCUUGGUGGAGGUAGCCAGCUACUGCGAAGAAAGCCGGGGCAACAACCAGUGGGUCCCCUACAUCUCUCUUCAGGAACGCUGAGGCCCUUCCUAGCAGCAGAAUCUGUUGAGUUACUGCCAAAAACAAAAAAUACAAUAAAUAUUUGAACCCCCCUCCCCCCAGCACAACCCCCCCAAAGCAACCCAACCCAGAGACCAUCGGGGGCAGAGUCGUUGGAGACUGAAGAGAGGAAGGAGGAGGAGGAGGAGGAGGAGAAGGGGAGUGAGCGGCGGCCCCCAGGGCGGAGAUCCAGGAGCUGGCCGCCGCCGAUCCGAUGGAGGAGAAGGGGGGACCCAGGCCAGCAGGAGACAGGACCCCGAAGCUCAGGCCUUGGGAUGGAGCAGAAGCCGGAGUGGCGGGGCACGCCGCCGCCUUCCCCGUCACGGAGGGUCCAGACUGUCCACUCGGGGGUGGAGUGAGACUGACUGCAACCCCCACCCUCCUUGAGACUGGAGCUGGCGUCUGCAGACGAGAGACUUGGUUGAACUUGGUUGGUCCUUGUCGGCACCCUGGACAAGACCACACUUUGGGACUUGGGAGCUGGGGCUGAAGUUGCUCUGUACCCAUGAACUCCCAGUUUGCGAAUUAUAGAGACAAUCUAUUUUGUUACUUGCACUUGUUAUUGGAACCACUGAGAGCGAGAUGGGAAGCAUAGAUAUCUAUAUUUUUAUUUCCACUAUGAUGGCCUUGUAAUAAAUUUCUAACGCCUCUG